GGCUCCGUGGCCUAAUGGUAAGGCGUUGCUUUCCGGUGAUAGGAUUGUGGCAAAGAUUGUGGGUUCGAGUCCCAUCGGGGUCG
Non-coding RNA from Teratosphaeriaceae sp. CCFEE 6253, 83 nucleotides. The record is from the annotation of a GenBank genome assembly. Lineage: Eukaryota; Fungi; Ascomycota; Dothideomycetes; Mycosphaerellales; Teratosphaeriaceae.